This 334-nucleotide ribosomal RNA is filed under the name Lethrinus lentjan (pink ear emperor). RNAcentral describes it as "partial 12S ribosomal RNA". It matches the Rfam family "Bacterial small subunit ribosomal RNA", at positions 1050 to 1527 of the family's 1533-position model. Lineage: Eukaryota; Metazoa; Chordata; Actinopteri; Spariformes; Lethrinidae. The record is from RNAcentral.
CGUCGUCAGCUUACCCUCUGAGGGUCCAAUAGUAAGCACAAUUGGCACAGCCCAAAACGUCAGGUCGAGGUGUAGCGUAUGAGAGGGGAAGAAAUGGGCUACAUUCACCCUUUACGGUGUACUACGAAAGAUGCAAUUGAAACAUUCAUCAGAAGGAGGAUUUAGCAGUAAGCAGAAAGUAGAGCGUUCCGCUGAAACUGGCCCUGAAGCGCGCACACACCGCCCGUCACUCUCCCCGAGCUUUUAAAUUUUGCCCUAAAUAAAACCCCGCCCACCGCUAAGGGGAGGCAAGUCGUAACAUGGUAAGUGUACCGGAAGGUGCACUUGGAAAAAC